Molecule: small nucleolar RNA, 154 nt
Organism: Aotus nancymaae (Ma's night monkey)
Lineage: Eukaryota; Metazoa; Chordata; Mammalia; Primates; Aotidae
Source: Ensembl
UGUGCACAUUGUUAGAGCUUGGAGUUGAGGCUACUGACUGGCCGAUGAACUCGCAAGUGUAGGUAGUGUGCUACACGAGGGGCAAGUUUUUCGCUAACACCAUGAGGGUCUCUGGCCCGAUGAGUGGAGUUUGAUAGUAAUUCUUGCUACAGUA